GAUGAAGAACGUAGCGAAAUGCGAUAAGUAAUGUGAAUUGCAGAAUUCAGUGAAUCAUCGAAUCUUUGAACGCACAUUGCGCCCGCCAGUAUUCUGGAGGGCAUGCCUGUUCGAGCGUCAUUUCAACCCUCAAGACCCCUUCGGGGGACUUGGUGUUGGGGACCGGCACAGGGGCCUGCCUGCUUGUCUUGCAGCGCCCUCGCCGCCCCCGAAAUGAAUUGGCGGCCUCGUCGCGGCCUCCCCUGCGUAGUAGCACAAACCUCGCAACGGGAACGUGACGGCGGCCACUGCCGUAAAACAACCCAAUUUUAUUAGAGUUGACCUCGAAUCAGGUAGGAAUACCCGCUGAACUUAAGCAUAUCAAUAAGCGGAGGA
RNAcentral lists this unclassified non-coding RNA (375 nucleotides) under soil metagenome. RNAcentral describes it as "partial contains 5.8S ribosomal RNA, internal transcribed spacer 2, and large subunit ribosomal RNA". The stretch from base 1 to 120 matches the Rfam family "5.8S ribosomal RNA", at positions 35 to 154 of the family's 154-position model. The record is from RNAcentral.